UGAUUAGUCUUAAAAACAUCAUGCAGCUGUUUGAAAAGUGAUCGUAUUGAUGUAUUUUUUAUCAUAUUUCGCACAGACAAGUGCUUAAAUGCUGCUUGUUUUUCUAUGCAUAACGGGUCAUUUUGUUGCGUUUCUGGAGUGGCUAUAAAAAAGUUGACUUAUUGGUCAUUUAUAAAAAGUGCGUGGAAGCGUCAACAGCAAAAGUGUUAAAUAUUAAAAAAGUGAUAAAAAAUAUUAAAAAGUGUACGUUUAUCUAUUUGUUUGUUUAUUUAUUUAUUGUUUUUAUAAAGAAAAAAUGUCAGCAAGCCAAUUUAAAAAAAAAGGCUAAAAUAUAAAGGAUGGCAAAAAAUGAAUUGGUGCAGCAAAAUGAAACGAUACUUAAACAAUUUGUAAGUAUACAAAAUUGGGUCUUUGAUUGAUUAAUUCACUACUUUGCAAUAUAUUAAUACUUAUAUAUUUUUUGAUAAUCUGUUUCCAGAAAGAAUUUAUUGCAAAAACCGGCGGUGAAGGACCCCCUCAAUUCCUUCGGGCUGCCGUUCGAAAGAUUUUUUCUGACAAUUUAGCCUGCCAAUACAGCUGGAAGGGCACCAGUGUAAAGCCAAGUGCAGAAAAGUGUUAUUUAGUGCCAGUAAUCAAAAAUAUUUGUCAUCUAAAAUACACAAGUAACGACAAGGAUAUGAACACAAUCCUUCAGAAACAUUUUGUUCACGCUCGAGACCGGGUUACAAAAAGAAAACGAUCAGAUUGAAGUUCCUGAUUUUUUUAUUUUUUUGGUUUUUCUUUUUUUAUUUAAUUUUUUACUAUAUUUUUUACCACUGGCAUUUACUAAAAUACACCUGAAAAUGAACUA
Molecule: long non-coding RNA, 850 nt
Organism: Musca domestica (house fly)
Lineage: Eukaryota; Metazoa; Arthropoda; Insecta; Diptera; Muscidae
Exons: 2
Source: RefSeq, a predicted model, not a curated record